RNAcentral lists this transfer RNA (65 nucleotides) under Agathobacter rectalis. It matches the Rfam family "tRNA", at positions 5 to 66 of the family's 71-position model. From Rfam's summary of the family: Transfer RNA (tRNA) molecules are approximately 80 nucleotides in length. Their secondary structure includes four short double-helical elements and three loops (D, anti-codon, and T loops). RNAcentral also lists the same sequence under 1 other name. The record is from RNAcentral. Lineage: Bacteria; Bacillati; Bacillota; Clostridia; Lachnospirales; Lachnospiraceae.
CUGUAGCUCAGUUGGAUAGAGCACCGGCCUUCUAAGCCGGGUGUCGGGGGUUCGAAUCCCUUCAG